Sapajus apella (tufted capuchin) is the source of this 3858-nucleotide long non-coding RNA. RefSeq lists it as uncharacterized. Lineage: Eukaryota; Metazoa; Chordata; Mammalia; Primates; Cebidae. The transcript is spliced from 2 exons. The record is from RefSeq and is a predicted model, not a curated record.
AAAGGUGAGUUGAUUCCUUCUCACAUCACAUCACUGUAAUUUCUGCCAUCUUCACAUCUCUUACUAAUAACUCUGGUCCUCCUGCCUCUUCUUAUAAGUGCCUUAUGGUAACAUUGGGCCCACCCAGAUAAUCAGGAUCAUCACUCUAACUCAUCAUGCUUAAUCCCAUCUGCCAAGUCACUUUUGCCAUGUACUGUAACAUAUUCACGAAUUCUAGGGAUUAGGACAUGGACAUCUUUGAGGGCUAUUUUUCUGCCUAGGACUCUGAGGUAUGCUAGUAGCUGAAAGAAAAACAUCAGAGGUCUUUUCCUUGUAAUUAUACAGGGAAGUUGCUUCUUGCUUAGCAAAUACAAGUGCUUAGGCCAAACCUGUCUGAGAUUUUAGCUCAAAAAGAAGUGCUCCAUUCUUUAAGUUUAGAUUUCAUUCCAAAUGUGUAACCAGCAAUUACUUUCUAUAGUCCUUUAUUUAUGGCCUAUUACUUGAGAUCCUGAUACAGUAAAUUCAUAAUGCAUUAGGUCAUCAGACAAUGACAUGGUUGUGUGUGGUACAUGGUCAAUUUUUUGGAACUUGACCUAGGAGUCUCCUUUUCUCCUACUGCUAACUAUGAAAGCUCUUAUGAAUCAUUUUUGUUUGUCACUGUACCUCAUUUUCUCAUCUGCAGAUUGCAUAUGAUCACUCAAUCUGUCUUAUUCAACUGCUAGACUAAUAAGAUCACAAUGAAAAAUGUUCUAUAAAGUAUAGAGCUGUCUUUCUAUACAGCAUACCUUUCUAAGUCUUCUCAAGUGGGGGGCUUUUGUACUGAAGUGUUUUAUUUACUUUAAUGUAAACAUGCACCAUGGUAAAUCUUUGCACAUUACUGAAAAGAACUUAGUGUUUAAUAAAAUCGUACCUAAUAUUCCCUCAAAUGUUAAACUUUAUGGUAAAUUAGACAAAGAUUUAUUAUGCCAUUUCUUUUUUUGAAUGGUAAUGUUAGUGCAAGUGACAGUUGAUGGUCUCACUCUUCUUUCCAUAGUUCUGUUACAUAAAUGUGAAACUUUAAUACCUAAAUAAUUUUAAAUAUAUUUUUAAUGAGGAAGUCUUCAGGGCAAUGGUUUUCCAAGUUAUUCUGUGACAGAAGGCGUUUUGCAAGAAAAUAUUGCAUUGAGCUGCCAUAUAUAAAACAAAUAUACGUGGAGUUACUCUGGUUGUAUAAGACAAUACGGCACCAAGUCCUUUGGUUAGUGCCCCCAAAACACAUAUUCCAGUGUCUGCUAAUGUCACUGGUUUCUAGGAAACACAGCGGGUUUCAGUGGAUAGUGUUAUUAAUUUGUAAAAUAUUUAAUAAGUAUUAAAAUAUGCUAAAUAAUAUAUAUUGGUAUCAAGGAGCUAUGGGAACUCUAAAAAGAGGGUGUGUAUGUGUGUGUGUCAGGUUAAACAAAUGUGUUCUCCAAAAAUUUAUUUUGUAAAUGUUAAUGCUAACUCAGUGUUUAUUCUCUGAGCUAACCUCACCUAUAAAACCAUAACACGUGAAAAUUAACACUUCAAAUUGUUUCCUUGAAGAUUAUGCAGUAAAUUUUAAAAACAUGUGUUUCAUAUAUAUUGUUUCUAUAAUACGCAUUAUACACACAGUAUUUCAUUCCAAUAUUACAUUCUGCAUAAUUUUGAAAGUCUUUUCUGCAUCUUUCCCCCAAAAACAGAGAAUAGAGGCUAUAGUGUUGGGCGUUUAAUGCCUGAAUGAGCACAUGAAACAUUUUUGUUAAUCAUCUUAUGAAAGAAAUAUUUCACAAGAUUUUUUUGUCAUAAUAACAUAUGUAGGUUAGUUUGUAAUAAGAAAUCUUAUAGUUGUAUUUUUUUCUCAAGCUAGCAUAUUUUGUAGUCAUUUCCAAUUUCAUAGUAGAAUUUAGAAUUUGGUUCAUACAUACCUUCAGAAAUGAUGUUGAUACUUUAGCCUGGUUAAUUGUCUAGGAUGUGCAUCUUGUGUACUUAUGAAUAUACUUAAAAUGGAUAAGAGAAGUAACAUAUAAAACUUUUAAGGAUGAGUAUUUGGUAAGAGAGAGAAUUCUAUUUGUUUUUUUAAAAAUAUGGCAUCAUGUUAAUCCAUUAUUUUUAUGUGUGUUUUGGAGAAAUUGAUUACUUAAUGUUUCACAUAGGUACAAAAUUUAGCUCAUAUUUGUCAUCAAAAUAAAAUAUCUUGUGAGAAACAGGUAAUUUUUCAAGAAGAUUACUUAUUUAGUAAAUAAAACCAUAAAAUGUUUAAACAUUUUGGUUCAAAAUUUAAAAGGCCACAUAUGUUUUCAUUCUUUAUAAAAGGUUAUUAAAUUUAGUUUUAAACUUAAUUCACAUAAAGGGUAUUUAUUAUGAUACUAGGGGGUAAUUGCACAGUUCUGCAUUCACUUAGAUUUCUUUUUUCCCCAUCAUCCCAGAAGCCAGAAUGUAAGCUACAUUUCUGUUUGUAUUGAGCCUUUGAGAGACUAUACUGUAUAGCUAUUGGAAAAACUUGCAUAUGUGUCCAAGUUCUGCCUCUUCUAAAAUUAAUUGCCAUAGAGGAAGUUGGUUAGCCACAGAGAGUUUCUUAGGCUUUCUAAAUUUAAUUUAUUAGUCCCUAGAAAGUUCAAGUCUGUAAAUACUAGGAGUUUUUACAAGGAAGUUAUAAAGAAGUAAAUGACAAGAUAUUUGAAAGUGCACGACAUUGUGUAUGACGUAUAUUAAUUGACCAAUGAAUGCUUUACAUCCCUUGAUCUAUUAACUAGAAAUUAAAUGGCAGGUAGAUAACUCCUAAGUUUAUAUCAACAAUUUCCCCUCUUCUGAAUUCCACACUCAUAUAUCCAGUUGCAAUAAUUGGCUUCUUGACUUAGAUAUCUAAUAGACAUCUCAUACUCUUCCAAUUAUUGCCUCCAAAUCUGCUCCAUCCGUUAUAAUAUGGCAACUCCAGCCUUUCAGUUCCUCUGUCAGAAAUCCUGAAGGCAUCCCUGACUCCUCUUUCUCUCUUACACCUCACCUCCAAUUUAUCGUUAGUCCUCCUUGCAGGAUAAUCCAGAAUCUGACAUUUCUUACCAUCUCUACUGCUAUAACUCUAGUAGGCUAGCAUAACGCCUAGACCUGAUUACUACAGAAACCUCGUAGCAGUUCUUUUGGCUUCCACCUUUCCCUCACUAUCUAUCCACAACAUAUUUGCUUGAGCGAUCCUUUCAGAACCUGAAUCAGUUAAUGUCAAUCCUCUGCUCAAAAACCCCCAGUGGUUCCCAUGUUAGACCUUACAAUUGCCUACAUGGCCCGUGCAAUUGGGCUCUUUUUUCUUUGUGAUUACCUCAUCUCUCAUUACCUUUCUCCUCACUUACUCUGAUGCAGCUAUACUUAUCCUUACCAUUCUUUUUGCAUGCCAGGCACAUUCUCAUUGUGCUGGCUGUUUUCUUUGCCUGGACCGCUUUCUCUGCAGUUAUCCCCAUAGCUCACUUCCUCUCUGCCUGUGUCUUCAUGUCUUUGAUUAAAUGCAACAUCUGUAUGCCUGAUCCCUCAUGCAGGACUCCCAUUUCAAAUGGAAACCCCACCCUCCUUCAUACCAGCCCUCUUUAUCAUACUCUAAAGGACUUAUCUUCUAACACCUGCUAAAAUUUACUCACACAUUUUUUAAUUUUUUCACUUGAAUGUGAGCUCUACAAUGUUAGCUGUUUGUGUGUGUAUGUGUGUGUGUGUUUCAGUUUUGUCUACUGAUAUUUCCCAAGCAUCUAGAACAGUGUCGGGCAAUUAAUAGUUGCUCAAUAAGUAUUUGUGGAAUGAUUUGGGUAAACCGCAAUUUGAUUAGAAAAAUGUGUUCUUAGAGUUCUUUCAUUUCAUGCAAUAUUGCUUAUUUAAGAGGAAUCAACAGAUUUACAAGAAAAA